Molecule: ribosomal RNA, 327 nt
Filed under: uncultured fungus
Lineage: Eukaryota; Fungi
Description: SSU rRNA
Rfam family: Eukaryotic small subunit ribosomal RNA
Source: RNAcentral
AAGUUGGCNACGUUUGUUGGUCGUCACUUCUUAGAGGGACUAUUGACUAUUAGUCAAUGGAAGUUUGAGGCAAUAACAGGUCUGUGAUGCCCUUAGAUGUUCUGGGCCGCACGCGCGCUACACUGAUCAAGUCAACGAGUUUACAACCUUGGCCGGAAGGUCUGGGUAAUCUUUUGAAACUUGAUCGUGCUGGGGAUAGUCCAUUGCAAUUAUUGGACUUCAACGAGGAAUUCCUAGUAAGCGUGAGUCAUCAGCUCGCGUUGAUUACGUCCCUGCCCUUUGUACACACCGCCCGUCGCUACUACCGAUUGAAUGGCUCGGCCCGUG